GCCAGCACAAAUCUAGUGUGUGCCUUUAGCACCUCUCUCUGUAUCUUCCUUCCCAAUCGCUUCAUACUUAUGGAGACUAGCAGCGUAGAGGAUGAGUCGAGCGAGGUCGAGAGGCGCUCGUCUCCGCCGCGGCCACCGCCGCUGCCAGCUACUGAGGGCUUGCAAAGACUUGGUAGCGGCGCAAGCGUCGUCCUCGAUCCGGAGGUCGGUGCCGAGUCGCGGAAGCUGCCUUCGUCGAGGUACAAAGGCGUGGUUCCGCAGCCCAACGGGCGGUGGGGGGCGCAGAUCUACGACAAGCACCAACGGGUCUGGUUGGGAACUUUCAACGAGGAAGAUGAGGCCGCGCGGGCCUACGACGUGGCCGCGCAGCGGUUCCGAGGGCGCGACGCUGUCACCAACUUCAAGCCGCUCGUCGAGACCGACGACGUCGACGCGGCGGAGCUCUCUUUCCUGGUUUCACGUUCGAAGGCCGAGAUCGUGGACAUGCUCCGUAAGCACACCUACCACGACGAGAUGCGGCAAAGCAGACAAUCCUCCGGCGCCGAAGGGAGGAGGACUUACCCUUCCCGUGGAGGGAGCAUGGGGUGGUUUGGCGGGCCGCACAGGGAGCACCUCUUCGACAAGGCCGUGACUCCUAGCGACGUCGGCAAGCUGAACAGGCUGGUGAUACCGAAGCAGCACGCGGAGAAGCACUUCCCGCUGCCGCAGACCGGCGCUGCGGCCUGCAAGGCGGUGCUGCUGAACUUCGAGGACGCCUGCGGGAAGGUGUGGCGGUUCCGCUACUCCUACUGGAACAGCAGCCAGAGCUACGUGCUAACCAAGGGCUGGAGACGGUUCGUCAAGGAGGAGGGGCUCAGAGCCGGCGACGUGGUCACCUUCCAUCGGUCGACUGGCCCAGAGAGGCAGCUCUUCAUCGGCCGGAAGACGCGACCGGCCGUUGAGGUGGUGAGGCUCUUCGGCGUGAACAUUGCUGAUGUGAGUGGCGUCGUUAGGCGGAAUGCGAAGAGGACGUGCAGGGACAUGGAAUCCACCGUAUCAUCAUCAUGCGAGCUGCUCAAGAGGCGAUGCAGAGAGGGUUUGUAGCAUCGACCGUUGGAUUUAGGCCAACUUUCCAUCAAUCUUUCACGAAAAGCGGUUGGAAGCAUCACCCUGCAAGAAUAAAAAUGGAAAGAGAAAUAAGAACAAAAUUGCUGAUGGCUUCGGAGGUGGAUGAGUCAUACUCCACCCCGGUGGUGGUCACCUGUGUCAUGCGGGAAGCUAAACACUGUAUCAACUGCACACUUAAGGGACCAUCGACGAUUAGUGGGCACUUGGCGAUGAGGGGCUCAAUAUUUCUCCGUUGGACAUUGUGUAGAGAACAAGGUGUCACACAUCAUGGCUUACAUGGAACUUGCCACAAAGGAUACAACAUGAAGUAAGGAUGAGGUAGUAAAAGACCUGCCUUGAACUUGCACUGGCUUCUGCAAUCUUGCACUCUUAUGUUGAAACUUGGAUUGCUGCGUGGUCACAGGACUUGCUGGUUAUUUCCAACACUGGUUAAUCAUCUGUCCAUCAGUGGUUUAUGAUUGACCAAGAAAUAGAUUAGUAAAUGUCUGAGAAAAGAAACAUGGCUAACACGAUGAUAGCACUCAGAAAAUGCAUGAGAUGUAGUACUUUUCGUCGAAGAAAUUUCUCAAUGAGAACUUCUAAGAAAGAUGUGGCUGUCUGCCACAAGACCUUUGUCUUACAGUAAAUGCUGUUCAAGUACGAUAAUGAA
Molecule: RNA transcript, 1756 nt
Organism: Musa acuminata AAA Group (dessert banana)
Lineage: Eukaryota; Viridiplantae; Streptophyta; Magnoliopsida; Zingiberales; Musaceae
Gene name: AP2/ERF and B3 domain-containing transcription repressor RAV2-like
Exons: 2
Source: RefSeq, a predicted model, not a curated record